This 468-nucleotide ribosomal RNA is filed under the name uncultured bacterium. RNAcentral describes it as "partial 16S ribosomal RNA". It matches the Rfam family "Bacterial small subunit ribosomal RNA", at positions 28 to 507 of the family's 1533-position model. The record is from RNAcentral.
GACGAACGCUGGCGGCGUGCUUAACACAUGCAAGUCGAACGGAAAGGCCCUGCUUUUGUGGGGUGCUCGAGUGGCGAACGGGUGAGUAACACGUGAGUAACCUGCCCUUGACUUUGGGAUAACUUCAGGAAACUGGGGCUAAUACCGGAUAUGAGCUCCUGCUGCAUGGUUGGGGUUGGAAAGUUUCGGCGGUUGGGGAUGGACUCGCGGCUUAUCAGCUUGUUGGUGGGGUAGUGGCUUACCAAGGCUUUGACGGGUAGCCGGCCUGAGAGGGUGACCGGCAACAUUGGGACUGAGAAACGGCCCAGACUCCUACGGGAGGAAGCAGUGGGGAAUAUUGAACAAUAGGCGGAAGCCUGAUGCAGCAACGACGCGUGCGGGAUGACGGCCUUCGGGUUGUAAACAGCUUUCGCCUGUGACGAAGCGUGAGUGAAGGUAAUGGGUAAAGAAGCACCGGCUAACUACGUG